GACCUCGGAUCAGGUAGGAAUACCCGCUGAACUUAAGCAUAUCAU
Molecule: ribosomal RNA, 45 nt
Filed under: Fusarium oxysporum
Lineage: Eukaryota; Fungi; Ascomycota; Sordariomycetes; Hypocreales; Nectriaceae
Description: partial 28S ribosomal RNA
Source: RNAcentral